GCGCGUGGGCAGCGUCACCGCGGGAUGCGUGGCCUGGGGGAAAACACGGGCGGGUGGGAAGGGGAGAGAAAAAAACGAGGAAGGGAGCGGGACCUUUCCGGGACGUGUCGGCCAAGGCUGCGCGAACCUUCGAUUUGGAAGGAGCCCGGGACUGAAAGCUGUGUUGACUAG
Molecule: long non-coding RNA, 171 nt
Filed under: Phascolarctos cinereus (koala)
Lineage: Eukaryota; Metazoa; Chordata; Mammalia; Diprotodontia; Phascolarctidae
Description: lncRNA (ENSPCIG00000010195.2)
Source: RNAcentral